CUUGGUGACUAUAGCUGCGAGGGUACACCCGGUAACAUACCGAACCCGGAAGUUAAGCUCGCACACGCCGAUGGUACUUGGGGGGGAGCCCCCUGGGAGAGUAGGUCAUUGCCAAGA
This 117-nucleotide ribosomal RNA is filed under the name Anaerolineaceae bacterium. The record is from RNAcentral. Lineage: Bacteria; Bacillati; Chloroflexota; Anaerolineae; Anaerolineales; Anaerolineaceae.